Molecule: ribosomal RNA, 253 nt
Filed under: uncultured bacterium
Lineage: Bacteria
Description: partial 16S ribosomal RNA
Rfam family: Bacterial small subunit ribosomal RNA
Source: RNAcentral
UACGGAGGGUGCAAGCGUUAUCCGGAUUCACUGGGUUUAAAGGGUGCGUAGGUGGGUUGGUAAGUCAGUGGUGAAAUCUCCGAGCUUAACUUGGAAACUGCCAUUGAUACUAUCAGUCUUGAAUAUUGUGGAGGUCAGCGGAAUAUGUCAUGUAGCGGUGUAAUGCUUAGAUAUGACAUAGAACACCAAUUGCGAAGGCAGCUGGCUACGCAUAUAUUGACACUGAGGCACGAAAGCGUGGGGAUCAAACAGG